GAUUCGCCCGCCGCGCCCCGCGCCCGUCCCGCCGCCCCCGCCCGCUCCUACGGGAGGCAGCAGCGGGGAAUAUUGCACAAUGGGGGGAACCCUGAUGCAGCGACGCCGCGUGAGUGAAGAAGUCAUUCGUGAUGUAAAGCUCUAUCAGCAGGGAAGAAAAUGACGGUACCUGACCAAGAAGCCCCGGCUAACUACGUGCCAGCAGCCGCGGUAAUACA
This 218-nucleotide ribosomal RNA is filed under the name uncultured organism. Its description in RNAcentral is "partial 16S ribosomal RNA". It matches the Rfam family "Bacterial small subunit ribosomal RNA", at positions 301 to 527 of the family's 1533-position model. The record is from RNAcentral.